RNAcentral lists this ribosomal RNA (548 nucleotides) under uncultured bacterium. RNAcentral describes it as "partial 16S ribosomal RNA". It matches the Rfam family "Bacterial small subunit ribosomal RNA", at positions 355 to 895 of the family's 1533-position model. The record is from RNAcentral.
UGGGGAAUUUUGGACAAUGGGGGAAACCCUGAUCCAGCCAUCCCGCGUGUGCGAUGAAGGCCUUCGGGUUGUAAAGCACUUUUGGCAGGAAAGAAACGUCGCGGGUUAAUACCCCGCGAAACUGACGGUACCUGCAGAAUAAGCACCGGCUAACUACGUGCCAGCAGCCGCGGUAAUACGUAGGGUGCAAGCGUUAAUCGGAAUUACUGGGCGUAAAGCGUGCGCAGGCGGUUCGGAAAGAAAGAUGUGAAAUCCCAGAGCUUAACUUUGGAACUGCAUUUUUAACUACCGGGCUAGAGUGUGUCAGAGGGAGGUGGAAUUCCGCGUGUAGCAGUGAAAUGCGUAGAUAUGCGGAGGAACACCGAUGGCGAAGGCAGCCUCCUGGGAUAACACUGACGCUCAUGCACGAAAGCGUGGGGAGCAAACAGGAUUAGAUACCCUGGUAGUCCACGCCCUAAACGAUGCUCAACUAGCUGUUGGGGCCUUGCGGCCUUGGUAGCGCAGCUAACGCGUGAAGUUGACCGCCUGGGGAGUACGGUCGCAAGAUU